Molecule: long non-coding RNA, 471 nt
Filed under: Homo sapiens (human)
Lineage: Eukaryota; Metazoa; Chordata; Mammalia; Primates; Hominidae
Description: HSALNT0399233
Source: RNAcentral
CUGUUUAAGAGGGAACCCAACCUGUAGGGAACCCAACCUGAGGCAGAAUGGAAGAAAUGAGAAGCACUGUGAGAGACCAGCCUCACUGGUGGGCCAGUCCCCGACCCCUGGGAGAAGAGAACGGGACAGCUCCAGACUCUCCUGCCCUCUUGUUGAGGAAGGUGAAGAGGCUGAUGGGGCCAAGCAGGUCACAGAGCUCAUCUGACCCUAGUCACUGGCAUGAGUCACUGGCAUGAGCUGUCCAGCACCCAGGAGCCGGUCAGGCUGACCUGCAUUACAAAUCAGCAGCCAGUCCUCUCUCACCCAGAUUAGCUUAUUGGCAUUCAGGGCCUAGAAGUCCAAGGGCCUGACCCAGCAGUGGCCCAGAGAGGUCUCUCACCUGCUCUGUGGGCACGAUGACCUCACUUAAGCUAACACAUGUGCAUAAAUUACCAUAGUAUUAUGUCCCCCAGAUGGGCUGCAUCCCUUCAC